CCUACGGGAGACAGCAGUGGGGAAUAUUGGGCAAUGGGCGCAAGCCUGAUGCAGCAACGCCGCGUGAAGGAAGAAGGCUUUCGGGUUGUAAACUUCUUUUAAGAGGGAAGAGCAGAAGACGGUACCUCUUGAAUAAGCCACGGCUAACUACGUGCCAGCAGCCGCGGUAAUACGUAGGUGGCAAGCGUUGUCCGGAUUUACUGGGUGUAAAGGGCGUGUAGCCGGGCUGACAAGUCAGAUGUGAAAUCCCGUGGCUCAACCACGGAACUGCAUUUGAAACUGUCGGUCUUGAGUAUCGGAGAGGCAGGCGGAAUUCCUAGUGUAGCGGUGAAAUGCGUAGAUAUUAGGAGGAACACCAGUGGCGAAGGCGGCCUACUGGACUGUGACUGACGUUGAGGCUCGAAAGCGUGGGGAGCAAACAGGAUUAGAUACCCUUGUAGUC
This 442-nucleotide ribosomal RNA is filed under the name uncultured bacterium. Its description in RNAcentral is "partial 16S ribosomal RNA". It matches the Rfam family "Bacterial small subunit ribosomal RNA", at positions 338 to 795 of the family's 1533-position model. The record is from RNAcentral.